GAGUGAAGGUCGGACUGUUACUGGAUAAAGGACUUUCUAACGGACCUCCCUCAGAGAGUGAAGGUCGGACUGUUUCUGGAUCAAGGACUUUCUAACGGACCGCCCUCAGAGAGUGAAGGUCGGACACCAUCUUUCCUCAACCCUCAGCGUCAGCACCCCACAGGGCUGUGUUUUCAGCCCCUUGCUCUUCAGUCUUUACACCUGUGACUGUAUUCCCAUCCAUCCCAGCAAUUCCAUCAUCAAAUUUGCGGAUGCGACUCCAGUGAUGGGGCUCAUCACAGAAGGGGAGGAGACUGACUAUAGAGAAGAGGUGAAGGCACUGGCAGACCACUAUGCCAAAAAUAACCUCAUUCUCAACCCCACAAAGACCAAGGAGCUGAUUGUUGAUUUCAGGAAACAAAAUUCCUGAUCCCAUCCAGCCCGUCUACAUCAUAGGAGAGGAGGUGGAAAGGGUCUCAGAGUGCAAGUUCCUGGGCGUGAGCAUCUCAAGCAACAUGACCUGGAAAAGCAACACCACUGCACUCCAGAAAAAAGCUGCACGCUGGCAGAGAGAAAGAAAUGACAUCAUCUUACAUCUCUAGAGGAGCUGUAUAAGAGCCACUGCAGCAUCCUCAGGGACUCAUCCCACCCAGGUCACCACUGGCUUGAAGUGUUGCCCUCAGGGAGGCGCUAUAAGAGCAUCAAAGCAAGGACAAAUAGACUGAAAAACAGUUUCUAUCCUAGAGCUGUUAUUGCCCUAAACUCUGCACGUACCUGAACACUCACCACUUUAUUACCUUGCUUACCUCUGUGCAAUAUGUUUUUAACAUUUUAUUAUGUUUUUACGUUUUUUUAUUAUUGUUUGUUGUCUCAAGACUAUUUUAUGUAGGUUGUUUUAAAAGCACUGAGCUGGAUUGCUGUCCACUUUCAUUGUUCCCAUACAAUGACAAUAAAGGUAUUCUGAUUCAGA
This is a long non-coding RNA of Nerophis lumbriciformis (worm pipefish), 949 nucleotides long. RefSeq lists it as uncharacterized. The record is from RefSeq and is a predicted model, not a curated record. NCBI's taxonomy places the organism in Eukaryota, Metazoa, Chordata, Actinopteri, Syngnathiformes, Syngnathidae.